GUCUCAGGCCGUAUCAGCCUGAAGGCGCCCGAUCUCGUCUGAUCUCGGAAGCUAAGCAGGGUCGGGCCUGGUUAGGAUCUUGGAUGGGAGACCACCUGGGAAUCCCCGGGUCGCUCGAGGCU
RNAcentral lists this ribosomal RNA (122 nucleotides) under Bison bison bison. The record is from RNAcentral. Lineage: Eukaryota; Metazoa; Chordata; Mammalia; Artiodactyla; Bovidae.